UGAGUACGAGCUGCUACGGCAGCGAAGUGGGUGAUGUCAUGCUUCCAAGAAAAGCCCUAUACCCGUUAAGGCAUGAUGGCCUGUACCCGAAACCGACACAGGUGGGGUGGUAGAGAAUACCGAGGGGCGCGAGGUAACUCUCUCUAAGGAACUCGGCAAAAUGGCCCCGUAACUUCGGGAGAAGGGGUGCCACCGCAAGGUGGUCGCAGUGAAGAGGCCCAGGCGACUGUUUACCAAAAACACAGGUCUCCGCUAAGUCGCAAGACGAUGUAUGGGGGCUGACGCCUGCCCAGUGCCGGAAGGUUAAGGAAGCUGGUCAGCGUAAGCGAAGCUAGCGACUGAAGCCCCGGUGAACGGCGGCCGUAACAAUAACGGUCCUAAGGUAGCGAAAUUCCUUGUCGGGUAAGUUCCGACCCGCACGAAAGGCGUAACGAUCUGGGCGCUGUCUCGGAGAGAGGCUCGGCGAAAUAGAAUUGUCUGUGAAGAUGCGGACUACGUGCACCCGGACAGAAAGACCCUAUGAAGCUUUACUGUAGCUUGGUAUUGUGCUCGGGCUCGGAAUGCGCAGGAUAGGUGGGAGGCUAUGAACCAUUGCUUGUGGGUGAUGGUGAGCCACUGGUGAGAUACCACUCUUUCCGAGCUAGAGUUCUAACAGCCACCCGUUAUCCGGGGGCUGGACAGUAUCAGGUGGGCAGUUUGACUGGGGCGGUCGCCUCCUAAAAGGUAACGGAGGCGCGCAAAGGUUUGCUCAGGCUGGUUGGAAAUCAGCCGACGAGUGUAAAAGCAGAAGCAAGCUUGACUGUGAGACCUACAAGUCGAACAGGGAGGAAACUCGGCUUUAGUGAUCCGACGGUUCUGCGUGGAAGGGCCGUCGCUCAACGGAUAAAAGUUACUCUAAGGAUAACAGGCUGAUCUCCCCCAAGAGUUCACAUCGACGGGGAGGUUUGGCACCUCGAUGUCGGCUCAUCGCAACCUGGGGCUGAAGUCGGUCCCAAGGGUUGGACUGUUCGCCCAUUAAAGCGGUACGCGAGCUGGGUUCAGAACGUCGUGAGACAGUUCGGUCCAUAUCCGGUGCAUGCGCAGGAAUAUUGAGAGGAUUUCUCCCUAGUACGAGAGGACCGGGAGGAACGCACCUCUGGUGUACCAGUUAUCGUGCCAACGGUAAACGCUGGGUAGCCAUGUGCGGAGAGGAUAACCGCUGAAAGCAUCUAAGUGGGAAGCCCACCUCAAGAUGAGUAUUCCCAUGGGGUAACCCAGUAAGGUCACGGGAAGAACACCCGUUGAUAGGCUCUACGUGGAAGCGCAGUAAUGUGUGAAGCGGAGGAGUACUAAUAGACCGAGGGCUUGACC
Molecule: ribosomal RNA, 1350 nt
Filed under: metagenome
Description: bacterial LSU rRNA
Rfam family: Bacterial large subunit ribosomal RNA
Source: RNAcentral